AGCGUAGGCGGCGUGGUAAGUCAGAUGUGAAAUCCCGGGGCUCAACCCCGGAACUGCAUCCGAUACUGCCGUGCUAGAGGAUUGGAGAGGUAGCUGGAAUUCUUGGUGUAGCAGUGAAAUGCGUGGAUAUCAAGAGGAACACUCGUGGCGAAAGCGAGCUACUGGACAACUCCUGACGCUGAGGCUCGAAGGCCAGGGUAGCGAAAG
RNAcentral lists this ribosomal RNA (207 nucleotides) under uncultured bacterium. RNAcentral's name for it is "partial 16S ribosomal RNA". It matches the Rfam family "Bacterial small subunit ribosomal RNA", at positions 568 to 774 of the family's 1533-position model. The record is from RNAcentral.